Molecule: ribosomal RNA, 1095 nt
Filed under: Bacillus pumilus
Lineage: Bacteria; Bacillati; Bacillota; Bacilli; Caryophanales; Bacillaceae
Description: bacterial SSU rRNA
Rfam family: Bacterial small subunit ribosomal RNA
Source: RNAcentral
UAUGGCUCAGGACGAUCGCUGGCGGCGUGCCUAAUACAUGCAAGUCGAGCGGACAGAAGGGAGCUUGCUCCCGGAUGUUAGCGGCGGACGGGUGAGUAACACGUGGGUAACCUGCCUGUAAGACUGGGAUAACUCCGGGAAACCGGAGCUAAUACCGGAUAGUUCCUUGAACCGCAUGGUUCAAGGAUGAAAGACGGUUUCGGCUGUCACUUACAGAUGGACCCGCGGCGCAUUAGCUAGUUGGUGGGGUAAUGGCUCACCAAGGCGACGAUGCGUAGCCGACCUGAGAGGGUGAUCGGCCACACUGGGACUGAGACACGGCCCAGACUCCUACGGGAGGCAGCAGUAGGGAAUCUUCCGCAAUGGACGAAAGUCUGACGGAGCAACGCCGCGUGAGUGAUGAAGGUUUUCGGAUCGUAAAGCUCUGUUGUUAGGGAAGAACAAGUGCGAGAGUAACUGCUCGCACCUUGACGGUACCUAACCAGAAAGCCACGGCUAACUACGUGCCAGCAGCCGCGGUAAUACGUAGGUGGCAAGCGUUGUCCGGAAUUAUUGGGCGUAAAGGGCUCGCAGGCGGUUUCUUAAGUCUGAUGUGAAAGCCCCCGGCUCAACCGGGGAGGGUCAUUGGAAACUGGGAAACUUGAGUGCAGAAGAGGAGAGUGGAAUUCCACGUGUAGCGGUGAAAUGCGUAGAGAUGUGGAGGAACACCAGUGGCGAAGGCGACUCUCUGGUCUGUAACUGACGCUGAGGAGCGAAAGCGUGGGGAGCGAACAGGAUUAGAUACCCUGGUAGUCCACGCCGUAAACGAUGAGUGCUAAGUGUUAGGGGGUUUCCGCCCCUUAGUGCUGCAGCUAACGCAUUAAGCACUCCGCCUGGGGAGUACGGUCGCAAGACUGAAACUCAAAGGAAUUGACGGGGGCCCGCACAAGCGGUGGAGCAUGUGGUUUAAUUCGAAGCAACGCGAAGAACCUUACCAGGUCUUGACAUCCUCUGACAACCCUAGAGAUAGGGCUUUCCCUUCGGGGACAGAGUGACAGGUGGUGCAUGGUUGUCGUCAGCUCGUGUCGUGAGAUGUUGGGUUAAGUCCCGCAACGA